This 753-nucleotide unclassified non-coding RNA is filed under the name Caenorhabditis elegans. Its description in RNAcentral is "Non-coding transcript of protein-coding gene C02D5.2c". Lineage: Eukaryota; Metazoa; Nematoda; Chromadorea; Rhabditida; Rhabditidae. The record is from RNAcentral.
GCUCAUAUCCGCCCCUCCACAAGGAAUAAAAUUCGAAAAUAUAUUUAUGGAACUAUUUUUAUUUUAUCAAUUUUUCUCCUUUAUCGAUCACUGAACAGUCCAGACACAUCAAAACACGGAAUUGGCAGAAAUGGAGAUUUUAUUGAAUAUGAGCCAAAAGCAGGACCCACGAUAAAAGAGCCUGUAGAGAAUAUAGUUAAAUUGGACGUUUAUAUGGAAGCACAGUGUCCGGAUACAUCUAGAUUUUUCCGUCAACAACUUAAAAAAGCGUGGGAUAUUCUAGGAAGGCUAAAUCGAAUCGAAUUGAAUGUAAUUCCAUUUGGAAAAGCGAGGUGUACAGAGAAAGGAAACGAUUUCGAAUGUCAAUGUCAGCAUGGUCCGACAGAAUGUCAGAUUAAUCAAUUAAUGAAUUGUGUCAUUGAUCGAUUUGGGUUUCCACAUAGAUAUUUGCCAGGUGUUUUGUGUAUGCAGGGAAAAUAUUCAUUAGAUGAGGCAAUGAAAUGUGUUACUGAGAAUUAUCCAUCUGAAUAUGAAAGAAUGCGUGAAUGUGCAUCAGGAACUCGAGGUCGCCGCCUUCUUGCUCUUUCCGGACAGAAAACUGCAUCACUAACUCCAGCAAUUGACUUCAUUCCCUGGAUUGUUAUUAAUGGUUCACGUAACUCGGAUGCUCUUUAUGAUCUAACACAGAAUGUCUGUGAAGCAAUGCAACCAAUGCCAUCUGCAUGCAAAGAUUACUUACGUUCAUUACAAUAA